GGCCCUGGCCCUAUCAGCCUGAAGGCGCCCGAUCUCGUCUAAUCUCGGAAGCUAAGCAGGGUCGGGCCUGGUUAGUAUCUUGGAUGGGAGACCACCUGGGAAUCCCGGGUGCUCGAGGCU
Ribosomal RNA from Bison bison bison, 120 nucleotides. The record is from Ensembl. Lineage: Eukaryota; Metazoa; Chordata; Mammalia; Artiodactyla; Bovidae.